CAAAUUCAUGUCACAAACUAUACUACAGAGGCCAAUUAAUGUUCCUUAUCAAUUCUCUACCAAGUCUUCCUUUGUUCAAUUACAAUUUUGAUUACAGUAUUCAAUUACUUGUCUCAUUAUAAUUAUAAUCAACAUCUCCUUAAUUUCCUCCUCUUUUUCCCUCGACCCCUAUUUUCUCAUGGUGACCCACAUGCCACUUAUAG
This 203-nucleotide long non-coding RNA is filed under the name Medicago truncatula (barrel medic). RNAcentral's name for it is "long non-coding RNA (MTRU_LNC004840)". The record is from RNAcentral. Lineage: Eukaryota; Viridiplantae; Streptophyta; Magnoliopsida; Fabales; Fabaceae.